GGAGGAUCCAAGCGUUAUCCGGAUUUAUUGGGUUUAAAGGGUGCGUAGGCGGCUUAUUAAGUCAGGGGUGAAAGACGGUGGCUCAACCAUCGCAGUGCCUUUGAUACUGAUGAGCUUGAAUGAACUAGAGGUAGGCGGAAUGUGACAAGUAGCGGUGAAAUGCAUAGAUAUGUCACAGAACACCGAUUGCGAAGGCAGCUUACUAUGGUUUUAUUGACGCUGAGGCACGAAAGCGUGGGGAUCAAACAGGAUUAGAUACCCUGGUAGUCCACGCCCUAAACGAUGAAUACUCGCUGUUAGCGAUAUACAGUUAGCGGCUAAGCGAAAGCGUUAAGUAUUCCACCUGGGGAGUACGCCCGCAAGGGUG
Molecule: ribosomal RNA, 367 nt
Filed under: uncultured bacterium
Lineage: Bacteria
Description: bacterial SSU rRNA
Rfam family: Bacterial small subunit ribosomal RNA
Source: RNAcentral